GAUGAACGCUGGCGGCGUGCCUAAUACAUGCAAGUCGAGCGAACGGACGAGAAGCUUGCCUCUCUGAUGUUAGCGGCGGACGGGUGAGUAACACGUGGAUAACCUACCUAUAAUACUGGGAUAACUUCGGGAAACCGGAGCUAAUGCCGGAUGCUAUUUUGAACCGCAUGGUUCAAAAGUGAAAGACGGUCUUGCUGUCACUUAUAGAUGGAUCCGCGCUGCAUUAGCUAGUUGGUAAGGUAACGGCUUACUAAGGCAACGAUGCAUAGCCGACCUGAGAGGGUGAUCGGCCACACUGGAACUGAGACACGGUCCAGACUCCUACGAGAGGCAGCAGUAGGGAAUCUUCCGCAAUGGGCGAAAGCCUGACGGAGCAACGCCGCGUGAGUGAUGAAGGUCUUCGGAUCGUAAAACUCUGUUAUUAGGGAAGAACAUAUGUGUAAGUAACUGUGCACAUCUUGACGGUACCUAAUCAGAAAGCCACGGCUAACUACGUG
RNAcentral lists this ribosomal RNA (497 nucleotides) under uncultured bacterium. RNAcentral's name for it is "partial 16S ribosomal RNA". It matches the Rfam family "Bacterial small subunit ribosomal RNA", at positions 28 to 507 of the family's 1533-position model. The record is from RNAcentral.